RNAcentral lists this ribosomal RNA (253 nucleotides) under uncultured bacterium. RNAcentral describes it as "partial 16S ribosomal RNA". It matches the Rfam family "Bacterial small subunit ribosomal RNA", at positions 524 to 776 of the family's 1533-position model. The record is from RNAcentral.
UACGUAGGGGGCAAGCGUUGUCCGGAUUUACUGGGCGUAAAGAGCGUGUAGGCGGCCAAACAGGUCCGUUGUGAAAACUGGAGGCUCAACCUCCAGACGUCGACGGAAACCGUGUGGCUAGAGUCCGGAAGAGGAGAGUGGAAUUCCUGGUGUAGCGGUGAAAUGCGCAGAUAUCAGGAAGAACACCAAUGGCGAAGGCAGCUCUCUGGACCACAACUGACGCUGAGGCGCGAAAGCUAGGGGAGCAAACAGG